UGGGGAAUUUUGGACAAUGGGCGAAAGCCUGAUCCAGCAAUGCCGCGUGUGUGAAGAAGGCCUUCGGGUUGUAAAGCACUUUUGUCCGGAAAGAAAUCCUUGGCUCUAAUACAGUCGGGGGAUGACGGUACCGGAAGAAUAAGCACCGGCUAACUACGUGCCGGCAGCCGCGGUAAUACGUAGGGUGCAAGCGUUAAUCGGAAUUACUGGGCGUAAAGCGUGCGCAGGCGGUUUGCUAAGACCGAUGUGAAAUCCCCGGGCUCAACCUGGGAACUGCAUUGGUGACUGGCAGGCUAGAGUAUGGCAGAGGGGGGUAGAAUUCCACGUGUAGCAGUGAAAUGCGUAGAGAUGUGGAGGAAUACCGAUGGCGAAGGCAGCCCCCUGGGCCAAUACUGACGCUCAUGCACGAAAGCGUGGGGAGCAAACAGGAUUAGAUACCCUGGUAGUCCACGCCCUAAACGAUGUCAACUAGUUGUUGGGGAUUCAUUUCCUUAGUAACGUAGCUAACGCGUGAAGUUGACCGCCUGGGGAGUACGGUCGCAAGAUUAAAACUCAAAGGAAUUGACGGGGUCAUAGCUG
This 579-nucleotide ribosomal RNA is filed under the name uncultured bacterium. RNAcentral's name for it is "partial 16S ribosomal RNA". It matches the Rfam family "Bacterial small subunit ribosomal RNA", at positions 355 to 932 of the family's 1533-position model. The record is from RNAcentral.